RNA transcript from Solanum verrucosum, 2407 nucleotides. It is a transcript of the gene named probable galacturonosyltransferase 13, with no coding region annotated. Lineage: Eukaryota; Viridiplantae; Streptophyta; Magnoliopsida; Solanales; Solanaceae. The transcript has 7 exons. The record is from RefSeq and is a predicted model, not a curated record.
UUCUUUCUGUUCAAUCCUCCAAUGGAGGGAGUAACAAAAUUCAUCUACCAUUAAAACUGUAUCAUCCUCAGGUUUAUCAUUUUUCAAAUUUCAUUGAUUCAUUCAUUCACACAUACAUAGAUAUGAUGAAUUCAUUACACACACUUAUGUGUGUGUUUUCCUCUUGAAACUGAUUCAAGCAGCCCUAAACGUUUUCCAUUUAUAAAGGAUUCCGCUGGUUUUCAGGAUUGGGGUAAACGGAAGAAUAAAGGGUCUCCCAUUCAAAUGCCAUUGGUCUCGGAAGAGACCCCGAACUUCAGAUUUGAAGCGAUCAAGAUUGUUUAAUUGGUGUCGUGUUGGAUCUGAUGGUGAAAAAAACACCAUUGUGUUCGUAUUGUUUAAGGAAUCGAGAAGAGGGUAGUGGCAUCAUUGGGGGUGCUGGGAUUGUGGAGGAUUGGGAUUGGGUGGUGAUUGGAGUUACAGGAGGAAGAUGCAGCUGCACUUCUCACCUAGCAUGAGAAGUAUAACAAUAUCGAGCAGCAAUAACAAUGGAGGGUUUGGUGAAUUAAUGAAGAUCAAACUCGCACCUCGCCAUUUCAACUUUAGAAGACUCUUUCAUACAAUACUUCUCCUAGCUUUUUUGUUGCCUUUUGUCUUCAUUCUCACUGCUCUUGUUACCCUUGAAGGCGUCAACAAGUGCUCCUCAUUUGACUGUUUAGGUAGACGAUUGGGACCAAAGCUUCUUGGACGAACUGAUGAUUCAAAACAGAGACUGGUAAAGAAUUUUGUUAAGAUCCUCAAUCAAGUAAACUCUGAGGAACUGCCAUCUGUUAUGAAGCUCCCAGAGUCUUAUGCUCAUCUUGUUUCUGAAAUGAAAAAUAACAAGUACAGUGCAAAAGAAUUUGCUUUGAUGCUGAAGGGAAUGAUGGAGAGAUCUGAAAGGGAGAUCAGGGAAUCAAAAUUUGCAGAGCUAAUGAAUAAGCACUUUGCUGCUAGUGCAGUCCCUAAAGGCAUUCACUGUCUUUCACUGCGGCUGACUGAUGAGUACUCCUCUAAUGCUCAUGCACGAAGACAGUUGCCUUCGCCAGAACUACUCUCUCUCCUUUCCGAGAACUUGUUGCACCAUUUUGUAUUGUCAACUGAUAACAUCCUAGCUGCUUCAGUUGUGGUCAAUUCUGCCGUGCAGUCAUCUUUGAGGCCUGAAAAAACUGUUUUCCAUGUCAUCACUGACAAGAAAACAUAUGCAGGGAUGCACUCCUGGUUUGCUCUUAAUCCUGUCUCUCCAGCGAUUGUGGAAGUUAGAGGUAUUCAUCAGUUUGACUGGUUAACCAGAGAAAAUAUUCCAGUGCUUGAAGCAGUUGAGGGUCAUUAUGGGAUUCGGAAAUACUACCAUGGAAACCAUGUAACUGGCGCCAAUCUCAGUGAUACUACUACUCCACGAUCUUUUGCCUCAAAACUGCAGGCUAGAAGCCCAAAAUACAUUUCCUUGCUCAAUCACAUUCGCAUAUAUUUGCCAGAGCUCUUCCCAAACCUUCAUAAAGUGGUUUUCUUGGAUGACGAUGUUGUGAUUCAGCGUGACUUGUCUCCAUUGUGGGACAUUGACCUUAAGGGAAAGGUGAAUGGAGCUGUUGAGACCUGUAAAGGAGAAGAUGAGUGGGUGAUGUCAAAGCGAUUCAGAAACUACUUUAAUUUUUCUCAUCCUCUCAUAGCAAAAAAUUUGAACCCUGACGAGUGUGCAUGGGCUUAUGGGAUGAAUAUCUUUGACUUGCAUACAUGGAGAAAGACAAAUAUAAGAGAUACUUACCAUUCAUGGCUUAAAGAGAAUCUGAAGUCCAAACUGACAAUGUGGAAGCUUGGAACACUACCUCCUGCUUUGAUUGCAUUCAAGGGUCAUGUUCACCCAAUUGAUCCCUCAUGGCACAUGCUCGGCUUGGGCUAUCAAAAUAAGUCCAACAUUGAUAAAGUGAAGAAGGCUGCUGUAAUUCAUUACAAUGGCCAGUCCAAACCUUGGUUGGAGUUGGGCUUCGAGCAUCUCCGUCCUUAUUGGACCAAGUAUGUAGACUACUCCAACGAUUUUAUAAAGAAUUGCCACAUAUUGGAGUAAUCGAUAGGUUGCACUCCAACUACAAAACACAAAGCAGGAAUCCAGAAGUUGCAGACUUUUUCAUUCUAUGUAACUCCACAAUCGAAUAGAAGAGGAAAUUCUCAGAUUGGCUGAAUUUGAUCAGGAGCUGUUUAUUGAGAAGAAAAGCCAGGAUUGCAGGCCAUGUUGAAAAGCUCUCCUACUUAGAUACAGAGAUAAUUCUUUAUCUUAAAAAUAUUGAUUUUUUUCUUUAUAUUGUCAGUCAUCACCCACCCACAUUCAACUUUUAUUACUUGAUUAAAUUAUCUCUAUUACAUCAGACUGUAAGUAAUGGAGAGAAUUUGG